Molecule: ribosomal RNA, 444 nt
Filed under: uncultured bacterium
Lineage: Bacteria
Description: SSU rRNA
Rfam family: Bacterial small subunit ribosomal RNA
Source: RNAcentral
AGAGCGAACGCUGGCGGCAGGCCUAAUACAUGCAAGUCGAACGAGCCCUUCGGGGCUAGUGGCGGACGGGUGAGUAACACGUGGGAACGUGCCUUUUGGUUCGGAACAACUCAGGGAAACUUGAGUUAAUACCGAAUGUGCCCUUCGGGGGAAAGAUUUAUCGCCAUUAGAGCGGCCCGCGUCUGAUUAGCUAGUUGGUGAGGUAAAGGCCCACCAAGGCUACGAUCAGUAGCUGGUCUGAGAGGAUGAUCAGCCACACUGGGACUGAGACACGGCCCAGACUCCUACGGGAGGCAGCAGUAGGGAAUCUUGCGCAAUGGGCGAAAGCCUGACGCAGCCAUGCCGCGUGAAUGAUGAAGGUCUUAGGAUUGUAAAAUUCUUUCAGCGGGACGAUAAUGACGGUACCGCAGAAGAAGCCCCGGCUAACUUCGUGCCAGCAGCCGC